AUUGAACGCUGGCGGCAUGCUUUACACAUGCAAGUCGAACGGUAACAGGCCUUCGGGUGCUGACGAGUGGCGCACGGGUGAGUAAUGCAUCGGAACGCACCCAGAGGUGGGGGAUAACGCAGCGAAAGCUGUGCUAAUACCGCAUGUGAUCUGAGGAUGAAAGCGGGGGACCGAGCAGCAAUGUUUGGCCUCGCGCCUUUGGAGCGGCCGAUGUCGGAUUAGCUAGUUGGUGGGGUAAAGGCCUACCAAGGCGACGAUCCGUAGCUGGUCUGAGAGGACGACCAGCCACACUGGGACUGAGACACGGCCCAGACUCCUACGGGAGGCAGCAGUGGGGAAUUUUGGACAAUGGGCGCAAGCCUGAUCCAGCAAUGCCGCGUGCGGGAAGAAGGCCUUCGGGUUGUAAACCGCUUUUGGCAGGAACGAAACGGUGUCCGCUAAUACCGGGCGCUAAUGACGGUACCUGCAGAAUAAGCACCGGCUAACUACGUG
This 492-nucleotide ribosomal RNA is filed under the name uncultured bacterium. RNAcentral describes it as "partial 16S ribosomal RNA". It matches the Rfam family "Bacterial small subunit ribosomal RNA", at positions 29 to 507 of the family's 1533-position model. The record is from RNAcentral.